CCUACGGGAGGCAGCAGUGAGGAAUAUUGGUCAAUGGACGAGAGUCUGAACCAGCCAAGUAGCGUGAAGGAUGACUGCCCUAUGGGUUGUAAACUUCUUUUAUAUGGGAAUAAAACGUUCCACGUGUGGGAUUUUGUAUGUACCAUAUGAAUAAGGAUCGGCUAACUCCGUGCCAGCAGCCGCGGUAAUACGGAGGAUCCGAGCGUUAUCCGGAUUUAUUGGGUUUAAAGGGAGCGUAGGUGGAUUGUUAAGUCAGUUGUGAAAGUUUGAGGCUCAACCGUAAAAUUGCAGUUGAAACUGGCAGUCUUGAGUACAGGAGAGGUGGGCGGAAUUCGUGGUGUAGCGGUGAAAUGCUUAGAUAUCACGAAGAAGUGCGAUUGCGAAGGCAGUUCACUGGACUGCAACUGACACUGAGGCUCGAAAGUGUGGGUAUCAAACAGGAUUAGAUACCCCUGUAGUG
RNAcentral lists this ribosomal RNA (460 nucleotides) under uncultured bacterium. RNAcentral describes it as "partial 16S ribosomal RNA". It matches the Rfam family "Bacterial small subunit ribosomal RNA", at positions 338 to 795 of the family's 1533-position model. The record is from RNAcentral.